Molecule: ribosomal RNA, 301 nt
Filed under: uncultured bacterium
Lineage: Bacteria
Description: partial 16S ribosomal RNA
Rfam family: Bacterial small subunit ribosomal RNA
Source: RNAcentral
CAGUAGCCGCGGGAAUACGAAGGGUGCAAGCGUUAAUCGGAAUUACUGGGCGUAAAGGGCGUGUAGGCGGCCUGGGGCGUCCCAUGUGAAAGGCCACGGCUCAACCGUGGAGGAGCGUGGGAUACGCUCAGGCUAGAGGGUGGGAGAGGGUGGUGGAAUUCCCGGAGUAGCGGUGAAAUGCGCAGAUACCGGGAGGAACGCCGAUGGCGAAGGCAGCCACCUGGUCCACUUCUGACGCUGAGGCGCGAAAGCGUGGGGAGCAAACCGGAUUAGAUACCCGCGUAGUCCCUGUCUCUUAUAC